Molecule: ribosomal RNA, 250 nt
Filed under: uncultured bacterium
Lineage: Bacteria
Description: partial 16S ribosomal RNA
Rfam family: Bacterial small subunit ribosomal RNA
Source: RNAcentral
UACGAAGGGGGCGAGCGUUGUUCGGAGUUACUGGGCGUAAAGGGCGCGUAGGCGGCGAUCCAAGUUAGGCGUGAAAGCCCCGGGCUCAACCUGGGAAUAGCGCUUAAGACUGGGUUGCUUGAGUGCGGGAGAGGUGAGUGGAAUUCCCAGUGUAGAGGUGAAAUUCGUAGAUAUUGGGAAGAACACCAGUGGCGAAGGCGGCUCACUGGCCCGCAACUGACGCUGAGGCGCGAAAGCGUGGGGAGCAAAC